AACAUGGGCAUCACAGGGACUACGAAAGAGCCAGAAACUCACUUGUCCGACACAUCCACUCCUCAUCUCCAUCAACUCCUGACUGUCCCAGGCCAAGAUCUGACAAAGAGUCACCUCUCCUUCUGGCUUGGCUCUAAACUGGCGCCACCAGCGACCAAAUCUCUACAGUUUAUACAAGAGAGGUCACUGACCAUGUCUUCACUGACAGAACAGCAGAGGCAAACAUUUAUGCUCUCUUCAAGGACCAAGUCUGCAUCACCUUUGGAGGGAUCAACACUCACACGUACGCCACACUUACCUUCAUUGACCAUGUUCUUAAAGCUAGAACUGGAUAAGACCAUAUCACAUACCACAUCAUUGCCAUUCGAUCUAAAGAGGUCAAUGACCACAGUUCCACAUUCUGAAAAUGGGAGAUUAGUGAGCACGCCUCAACAGGUUGACCUAAACCGAUUAACAUCGACAUUCAGUAGCGUAACCGGUCGGCAGUUAGCCUUUGACGAAACUCUUGUUACAACAUACGUUUCCUCACCUCUUUAUCUGUAUGAGGACCUACUCCAAGUACCUUUGACUCAUAGUGGUCAGCUUGUGACCGUCUCAGCAGAUGACCAUAGACCUAAAACCCACCGUGUUCAGACAACUGCAGGGCCACAGGGUGACAGGGCAGGAUCGCAGACAGUUGACCUCAGCCAAAAGACACUGCAUACUGGUGCACGAUCCAUAGCCUCACUAUCACAGGUACCUCUCCUACCGCCAAUAUCCGCUAAGCAAUCCUGGCAAAUGGAGACCAACAUGACUCUGGAGCCUUCCUUGACUCAAAUACCAUUAGCUGCUCCAGCCACAAGUGAACUGUAUUCUCAAAUAACCGCAGUACAAAGGACGGAAUUAUUUUUUAGAUUCAGCAGUAUUCACGAUGACGCCAACAGCGGCUGACCUUGAAUCACUCUUUGACAGUUCAUAUAGUAUUCCACAGGCAACUGUAGAGGUCCUGGGGACAACAGCUCACGGCCAGCUCUAUCCCAUAGAACUGUCUGCUGUUCAAGGACUAUACACAGAAUCCUCCCUCCUUCUGCAGCAGAGUCUGGAUCCCUCUUACCCUCAGUAUACCCAGUCCAUUGCCCAGGAGGAUCCCUCUUACCCUCAGUAUACCCAGUCCAUAGCCCAGGAGGAUCCCUCUUACCCUCAGUAUGCCCAGUCCAUAGCCCAGAAGGACAUGCUGGGUAUCUCCAUUCAGACUUAUCCCACUGAUUCUCUAGAUUUCCUGUCACAGAGUGCGGAGACAGAACAGACUCCGCUCCCAUCUAAAGUUCAGUGAUUUAGAAAUAAGAGAUCACUACUCUGAUCCAGUUUACAUCCAAACUGACAACUCAAGGCAGUUUUCCUCAGAGUCACCCAAGGAUCGUCCGCAAACAGCUGCCAUAACAGAUCAAAAAUCAGAAUACGGCUCUUUGCAGUUUCUCUCCAAGACCAAGCAGCUUGUAACCGCUACAUUGUUCUCAUCCCUUCACUCUUCCCAAAGUCUAUCCAGCGUCUCAGUAAUCACACAAACCUCCAGCAUUCCAGCAUCUGUCCUCAGUGCCGUAAACAGGUCAGCUGUGUCAUCAAUGCACCAAUCACUGCCCAGGACUCAAGGUGUCACAGGCAUGGGCAGACCAAUCACCGUGUCCAGCUACUGCCCUUUGACCUCCCCACUGAUUAUCAGCACCGGCUGGAGAGAGUAUGACGGAACUUCAAGCUUCUCAUCAGGUCCAGUUGAGAUGCGAGAGGUUUCUUUGGGCCUUGCUCCAACUGGAGUACUUAGAGCAUCUUCCCAGCCCAUGUCUCCUUCAGCUGCCUCCUCAGGGCCCUCCAAUCUCCCUCCCAAAGUGUUGCAGUCCAUCCCACUUCUGGAGGCCACAGUCGGCUUCCCUUUCCACUACACAAUACCAUCAAGGACCUUUCUGGAUCCAGAGGAUGGGGCAGCAGAGUCCCUCUCCCUGGAGCUGAGGUUCAUAGAUGGCCCUCCUGUGACUCUGGGGUCCUGGGUGGCCUUGGAUGGACUUGAGCUGCACGGUGUCCCUCUGGAAGUGGACCUGCAGUUUUCCCCUCAGCAGCUGCUGCUGGCUGCUCGGGGCAAUCAGGGCCUGGCUGCCUGGCUCCCCCUCACCUUGGACCUCCACCGCAGCCAUGCGGAGCCCUGCCACAGCUUUAGCCUCACGGCUCACCGGAGCCUUCACUCCCUCCUCAGCCAGCGCCACAAGGUGGAGCUCCUCCUGGACAAGCUGUCCGGCUUCUUCAAAUGACUCCGGCAGCCACCACCUAGCCGUGCUGUCCCUGGCACCUGGAUCCACUAUUGUGUCUUGGUACAACUUCACCCUAUGCCAGGUGGGGGUUGAUGGUGUCGAGGGACGGUGCCCUGUGGGUCGGGUCUGGCGCAUGUGGGAGGAAAUUAGUUCAGAGGCCAGACAGAGUAGCCCUGCGUUCAGCCAGGCAAUGCUCCCAGAGUUCCCCAUCAGCAAGGUAGGCCCUGUGAGCUACAGACAUGACUGUUUCUCCAGCCCGACUACUGCCGCACCUACAGCCUCUAGUCCCACUCUUUCCACCAGUACUCCAAUCCCACUUCUGACAACACCGUCCCAGCCUCGGAUCCCACCGCUGUGUCAGUGCGACAGACAGACCCCUAUCAUUGGAUGGCCAGUGUGUUGACAGCUCUGCUAGUGGUCUGUUGCCUCUUUCUGGCAGUCACCCUUACAUUUACAAGUUUCUAUUUCUGUAGAAGCCGUGUGAGGGUAAGGACUCUUGCGAUUUGGCCCUCAGAGGGGGUUGUCCCAGGUCACACCAUGGAUCUGAGGGCAAUAAGGCCAAGGAUGCCACCCCUGUUCCAACCAGAAGUACCCCCACCUCCCCCCAGGUUGUGGCUGAACGCCUCACCAGCCAGUGGAGAGCAUCUCUCUCCCACAUAUCUCCAGGGCAGACAUCCUUAUCAAAGAGCAGUGUCUUUUCACCCACCUCCACGAUACCCACAUAACAGACCAUGGGAACACAAACCCCAAGAAGAAAAGCAUACAAACAAAUGAACCCAUUCUAUGGAAGUGAGGUUAUCACACAAAUGUUCAUACACACACUACUCAUGCCACUACGAGGGUUGUAUUUCUAUGUACCAAAACUUACACCAUAAAGCAUUAACACCCUCCUAAAAUGUUUGUUUUUCAUUUCAUUGAGGAAUCUUAAAGUAGAAUUAAGAUACAAUAUCACCAUAGCUGGAUUGGACUAUAUUUCAGACAAAAACCUUGCAAACUGACAAAACAUCAUUGUGUUAUACUUGAGACAGACCAACCGUUCA
Molecule: RNA transcript, 3319 nt
Organism: Coregonus clupeaformis (lake whitefish)
Lineage: Eukaryota; Metazoa; Chordata; Actinopteri; Salmoniformes; Salmonidae
Exons: 2
Source: RefSeq, a predicted model, not a curated record